RNAcentral lists this ribosomal RNA (447 nucleotides) under uncultured bacterium. RNAcentral describes it as "partial 16S ribosomal RNA". It matches the Rfam family "Bacterial small subunit ribosomal RNA", at positions 29 to 523 of the family's 1533-position model. The record is from RNAcentral.
AACGAACGCUGGCGGCAGGCUUAGCACAUGCAAGUCGAACGCAUCGCAAGAUGAGUGGCAGACGGGUGAGUAACGCGUGGGAACAUACCCUUUUCUACGGAAUAGCUCUGGGAAACUGGAAUUAAUACCGUAUACGCCCUACGGGGGAAAGAUUUAUCGGGGAAGGAUUGGCCCGCGUUGGAUUAGCUAGUUGGUGGGGUAAAGGCAUACCAAGGCGACGAUCCAUAGCUGGUCUGCGAGGAUGAUCAGCCACAUUGGGACUGAGACACGGCCCAAACUCCUACGGGAGGCAGCAGUGAGGAAUAUUGGACAAUGGGCGCAAGCCUGAUCCAGCCAUGCCGCGUGAGUGAUGAAGGCCGUAGGGUUGUAAAGCUCUUUCACCGAUGAAGAUAAUGACGGUAGUCGGAGAAGAAGCCCCGGCUAACUUCGUGCCAGCAGCCGCCGUAA